RNAcentral lists this ribosomal RNA (484 nucleotides) under uncultured bacterium. Its description in RNAcentral is "partial 16S ribosomal RNA". It matches the Rfam family "Bacterial small subunit ribosomal RNA", at positions 30 to 507 of the family's 1533-position model. The record is from RNAcentral.
AUUGAACGCUGGCGGCAGGCCUAACACAUGCAAGUCGAGCGGAUGAAGGGAGCUUGCUCCUGGAUUCAGCGGCGGACGGGUGAGUAAUGCCUAGGAAUCUGCCUGGUAGUGGGGGAUAACGUCCGGAAACGGGCGCUAAUACCGCAUACGUCCUGAGGGAGAAAGUGGGGGAUCUUCGGACCUCACGCUAUCAGAUGAGCCUAGGUCGGAUUAGCUAGUUGGUGGGGUAAAGGCCUACCAAGGCGACGAUCCGUAACUGGUCUGAGAGGAUGAUCAGUCACACUGGAACUGAGACACGGUCCAGACUCCUACGGGAGGCAGCAGUGGGGAAUAUUGGACAAAGGGCGAAAGCCUGAUCCAGCCAUGCCGCGUGUGUGAAGAAGAUCUUCGGAUUGUAAAGCACUUUAAGUUGGGAGGAAGGGCAGUAAGUUAAUACCUUGCUGUUUUGACGUUACCAACAGAAUAAGCACCGGCUAACUUCGUG